This 108-nucleotide small nuclear RNA is filed under the name Ovis aries (sheep). The record is from RNAcentral. Lineage: Eukaryota; Metazoa; Chordata; Mammalia; Artiodactyla; Bovidae.
GUGCUCGCUUCGCAGCACAUAUACUAAAAAUUGGACAGACACAGAGAAGAUUAGCAUGGCCCCCUGCGCAAGGAUGACACGCAAAUUCGUCAAGCGUUCCAUGUUUUA